CACCGAAAUUCACGGUUCCCACCGUAACCACGAAAUACCGGAAAAAAUUCGGACGAAAUUCAAAAUCAAAUUUUGAAUUCAAAUAUUUCAAAGUUGAUAUAGAUAAACUUUUAACUCUAUGAUAUCACAGUCUUUCUCCUAGCGUAGUGGCUGAACACACGCACCCACCGAUGCCGCUUGGUCAGAGAUUUCGAGUUUGACUCCUGCGGCUCCAGAAAUUUUCAACUCUGUUAGUUUUUUACUUUCGCAUUCUAAAAAAGAAAGAAAAAGUAUGGAAGGUAAGACUCGAACCCGCGACCUGCAGCUCCACAAAGCAAGCCUUUG
Molecule: ribosomal RNA, 324 nt
Filed under: Triticum aestivum (bread wheat)
Lineage: Eukaryota; Viridiplantae; Streptophyta; Magnoliopsida; Poales; Poaceae
Description: partial small subunit ribosomal RNA
Source: RNAcentral